This 717-nucleotide ribosomal RNA is filed under the name Triticum aestivum (bread wheat). RNAcentral's name for it is "partial small subunit ribosomal RNA". Lineage: Eukaryota; Viridiplantae; Streptophyta; Magnoliopsida; Poales; Poaceae. The record is from RNAcentral.
AUGGAGAACGCAGGAGGAUCGGGAGGAGCGGAGAACGAAGAGGAAAAGGAGAGGCUGGAUAUAGAUCGGGAGGCAUGUGACCCAGGCGAUGGCCGGCGAACAGCCGGUGCAGUACAACAAGAGCCACCUGGAGAGGAGGACAUGGAGGAGGAAGACGUCGAAGAUCAGGAGGAAGAGGAAGAUAGCGGAUGGGAUCACCUUGGUCCUGACCCAAACCUAGAGGAUGCUUUCGAGGCUCUUAACCUACAUGGAGAAGAAGAGGAGGAUCUUGAUCUCUCGGGGGAGGUAGAAGAGUUAAUCAGAGAGUUCCGAUGGCUAUCCCUUUUUAGGGUUCAUACUCAUCGCCCGUUUAGCCAUGUUGCAUUACUGAAUUCUAUGAGGAACGCAUGGAUGUGUGCACAAGGAGUUACCUUCAACAUCAAAGGCCCGAAUUUGUUUUUGGCUCAGUGUCAUUGCCUUGGAGACUGGAAGCGUGUAAUGGAGGGGGGGGGGGCUUGGCAGUUCAGAAGGGACCCGGUGGUGCUAGUUGAAUACGAUGGCUUUACUAAUGUGUCAGACUAUGCAUUGAAUCUGUACCCAUUGUGGGCAAGAGUAAAGGGCUUGCCAGAUGGCUUGACAAGGAAGAAGGAGCUCGCUGAGAAGGUAGCCAAAAGGUUGGGGAGCCUCCAUUCACGGUGGUUGUCAAUGAAGGAAGAAUCAAGCCGUCUAGCUACUUGA